This 483-nucleotide ribosomal RNA is filed under the name uncultured bacterium. Its description in RNAcentral is "bacterial SSU rRNA". It matches the Rfam family "Bacterial small subunit ribosomal RNA", at positions 28 to 507 of the family's 1533-position model. The record is from RNAcentral.
GAUGAACGCUGGCGGCAUGCCUAAUACAUGCAAGUCGAACGGACUAGUUUACUAGUCAGUGGCGAACGGGUGAGUAACACGUAAGUAAUCAACCCCUAAGACGAGGAUAACGUUUGGAAACGAGCGCUAAUACUGGAUAGGAGUACGAAUCAAAAGAGAUGUACUUUAAAGGUCCUCAUGGGACCGCUAAGGGAUGAGCUUGCGGCGCAUUAGAUAGUUGGGGAGGUAAUGGCUCACCAAGUCAACGAUGCGUAGCUGGGCUGAGAGGCCGAACAGCCACACUGGGACUGAGACACGGCCCAGACUCCUACGGGAGGCAGCAGUAGGGAAUUUUCGGCAAUGGGCGAAAGCCUGACCGAGCAAUGCCGCGUGAAUGAAGAAGGUCUUCGGAUUGUAAAGUUCUGUUAUUGGGAAAGAACACUAUUCAUAGGAAAUGAUGAAUAGAUGACGGUACCCAAUGAGAAAGCCCCGGCUAACUACGUG